GACGAACGCUGGCGGCGUGCUUAACACAUGCAAGUCGAACGGAAAGGCCCUGCUUUUGUGGGGUGCUCGAGUGGCGAACGGGUGAGUAACACGUGAGUAACCUGCCCUUGACUUUGGGAUAACUUCAGGAAACUGGGGCUAAUACCGGAUAGGAGCUCCUGCUGCAUGGGGGGGGUUGGAAAGUUUCGGCGGUUGGGGAUGGACUCGCGGCUUAUCAGCUUGUUGGUGGGGUAGUGGCUUACCAAGGCUUUGACGGGUAGCCGGCCUGAGAGGGUGACCGGCCACAUGGGGACUGAGAUACGGCCCAGACUCCUACGGGAGGCAGCAGUGGGGAAUAUUGCACAAUGGGCGGAAGCCUGAUGCAGCAACGCCGCGUGCGGGAUGACGGCCUUCGGGUUGUAAACCGCUUUCGCCUGUGACGAAGCGUGAGUGACGGUAAUGGGUAAAGAAGCACCGGCUAACUACGUG
Molecule: ribosomal RNA, 468 nt
Filed under: uncultured bacterium
Lineage: Bacteria
Description: partial 16S ribosomal RNA
Rfam family: Bacterial small subunit ribosomal RNA
Source: RNAcentral